Molecule: ribosomal RNA, 254 nt
Filed under: uncultured bacterium
Lineage: Bacteria
Description: partial 16S ribosomal RNA
Rfam family: Bacterial small subunit ribosomal RNA
Source: RNAcentral
UACGGAGAGUGCAAGCGUUGUUCGGAAUUAUUGGGCGUAAAGCGCGUGUAGGCGGCUCGACAAGUCUGGCGUGAAAGCUCAGGGCUCAACCCUGAAAGUGCGCUGGAAACUGUCAAGCUUGAGUACUGGAGGGGGAAGUGGAAUUCUCGAGUGUAGAGGUGAAAUUCGUAGAUAUUCGGAAGAACAUCAGUGGCGAAGGCGACUGCCUGGACAGAUACUGACGCUGAGACGCGAAAGCGUGGGGAGCAAACAGG